UGCCCUUCUGUCCACGGGGGAGCAAACAAGCACGCAAGCAGAGAACGUGGUGCUCGCAGAAAGGCUUGGAAAUACGAAAGGUGACCAGAGGUCCCUAAAGGCUGAUAACUCCUGAGUGAAGGAUGUGAAGAAUGAAGGGAGCACAGCGGUCACGGGCUGCGUCGGCUGUGACGGUAAAAGGCUGGGGGGGGGGGCGCAGGCAAGGGAAUCAGAGGCAGUGGAAGGCGGAGAGGGGGGCAGAGACCGGAGGUGCUGUGCCAAAAGGUACGAGAGCAGGCGCGCCUUCCGUUGGGUUGUCCUUAUCCAAGGAUAAGGCACGGUUUGCGGCGCUGGGAAUCCUAGUCGACCUGUCGCUCUCAAACCCGUCGAGAGCCGUAAAAGGUUCCCCCGGCAGAGAAGGCGUAUGAAAGGGGCGCCCCGCGAGCGCGAGACCCCGGGAGACGCAGCUGAGGGUGUUCGAGCCUGGAGGCGGCUACCGCCGCAGGGGCUCCCGGGGGAGGAGACGAGGGAGGAGGGUGUGAAACGCCGGUGAGCGCGGGCCAACUCCGCAGGUAAGACGAGCGUAGGCUCCAGACAGAGGCACCUCGAGGCUGCCUGCCCCGAGGGCGCCCGAGCCACGUGAGGGGCGCCGCCAUCAGGAGCUAACCUGGGGCGGCUGCUGGGAGGUAGGCAAGGCUGGGAGAUGAGGAGAGAGGAGGGGACGGACAGCCACCAGCCAGCCGCCAGCCAGCCAGCCAGCCAGCCAACCAUUCCGCCCGCCCAGAGGGUGAGUGGGAGGCAGGAGCGGAGAUCGCUCGGGAAAGCCAGCAGGCUCAGCGCGAGGGUGCUUGCUGGUUUCGCUGGCGCGCCGCGCCGUCUUGCCCACCGCCGGUGCCAGCAGCAGCGAGAGCGAGGGCGCGGGGUUAGAGGCCCGGCAGUGGAUCGGCUCGUCCGCCUGCUGCGCUACCCUUAGUCCCGCGGAGUCGCUGCCAUGUUCGGCUGGAGCGCUCGGAAGCGCCUGUCGAGCAGAUCGUUGACCACCUUGGGUGAGCUGGAGAGAGAGCCGCCUUGCAACACCUGUGGAGACCAGUGUCCAGGCUUUGUGCUUCAUAAAUGGAGGCAAAUUGUUCCCUCCGACUGCUUUCUGAAAGCUGGGUGGCUUAGAACGUACUUGUCUCCUCUGGCCCCAAGUGCAAGAUCCGUUUGCUCAAAUCCUGCAAGAAGUGGCCAAAAUCUGAAAACAAACAAGGCAACAUACCACUGCGCAGCAGAAAAAGCUGGGAAAGUUUAUUGUACACUGUGGCACCAUUAAGGCCUGUAUAUAUGCAUGCAAUUUUAUUUUUAAACAAGUACAUUAAGAAGCGUUAAAGAUCUCAUUAAUGUGUCAAUCACAACUCCCCCACUGUUCAAAAACAUUUAAAUGUUUGGAAGCUGCUUUAUGAAUACCUAAUGGAGCCUGGCAAUUAAAC
This 1448-nucleotide long non-coding RNA is filed under the name Salvator merianae (Argentine black and white tegu). RNAcentral's name for it is "lncRNA (ENSSMRG00000000132.1)". Lineage: Eukaryota; Metazoa; Chordata; Lepidosauria; Squamata; Teiidae. The record is from RNAcentral.